Molecule: ribosomal RNA, 600 nt
Filed under: Marinobacter sp.
Lineage: Bacteria; Pseudomonadati; Pseudomonadota; Gammaproteobacteria; Pseudomonadales; Marinobacteraceae
Description: bacterial SSU rRNA
Rfam family: Bacterial small subunit ribosomal RNA
Source: RNAcentral
GCAGCUACACAUGCAAGUCGAGCGGUAACAGGGGGUGCUUGCACCCCGCUGACGAGCGGCGGACGGGUGAGUAAUGCAUAGGAAUCUGCCCAGUAGUGGGGGAUAGCCCGGGGAAACCCGGAUUAAUACCGCAUACGCCCUUUGGGGGAAAGCAGGGGAUCUUCGGACCUUGCGCUAUUGGAUGAGCCUAUGUCGGAUUAGCUAGUUGGUGGGGUAAAGGCCUACCAAGGCGACGAUCCGUAGCUGGUCUGAGAGGAUGAUCAGCCACAUCGGGACUGAGACACGGCCCGAACUCCUACGGGAGGCAGCAGUGGGGAAUAUUGGACAAUGGGGGCAACCCUGAUCCAGCCAUGCCGCGUGUGUGAAGAAGGCUUUCGGGUUGUAAAGCACUUUCAGUGAGGAGGAAAACCUUCUGGUUAAUACCCAUGAGGCUUGACGUUACUCACAGAAGAAGCACCGGCUAACUCCGUGCCAGCAGCCGCGGUAAUACGGAGGGUGCAAGCGUUAAUCGGAAUUACUGGGCGUAAAGCGCGCGUAGGUGGUUUGAUAAGCGAGAUGUGAAAGCCCCGGGCUUAACCUGGGAACGGCAUUUCGAACUGU